GCCCCCGUAGCUCAGUAGGAUAGAGCAACGGUUUCCUAAACCGGAGGUCGUGUGUUCGAAUCACGCCGGGGGCACCA
RNAcentral lists this transfer RNA (77 nucleotides) under Nitrospinota bacterium. RNAcentral's name for it is "tRNA-Arg". It matches the Rfam family "tRNA". From Rfam's summary of the family: Transfer RNA (tRNA) molecules are approximately 80 nucleotides in length. Their secondary structure includes four short double-helical elements and three loops (D, anti-codon, and T loops). Further hydrogen bonds mediate the characteristic L-shaped molecular structure. tRNAs have two regions of fundamental functional importance: the anti-codon, which is responsible for specific mRNA codon recognition, and the 3' end, to which the tRNAs corresponding amino acid is attached (by aminoacyl-tRNA synthetases). tRNAs cope with the degeneracy of the genetic code in two manners: having more than one tRNA (with a specific anti-codon) for a particular amino acid; and 'wobble' base-pairing, i.e. permitting non-standard base-pairing at the 3rd anti-codon position. Lineage: Bacteria; Pseudomonadati; Nitrospinota. The record is from RNAcentral.